UUGUAGUUUGAUGGCGACCGGCGAACGGGUGCGUAACGCGUAUGCAACUUACCUUUUACUAGAGAAUAGCCAAGAGAAAUUUUGAUUAAUGCUCUAUGUUCUUAUUUACUCGCAUGAGUAAAAAAGCAAAGCUCCGGCGGUAAAAGAUGGGCAUGCGUCCUAUUAGCUUGUAGGUGAGGUAAUGGCUCACCUAAGCUCCGAUAGGUAGGGGUCCUGAGAGGGAGAUCCCCCACACUGGUACUGAGACACGGACCAGACUUCUACGGAAGGCAGCAGUAAGGAAUAUUGGACAAUGGAGGCAACUCUGAUCCAGCCAUGCCGCGUGAAGGAAGACGGCCUUAUGGGUUGUAAACUUCUUUUAUACAGGAAGAAACCUUUCCACGUGUGGAAAGUUGACGGUACUGUAAGAAUAAGGAUCGGCUAACUCCGUGCCAGCAGCCGCGGUAAUACGGAGGAUCCAAGCGUUAUCCGGAAUUAUUGGGUUUAAAGGGUCCGCAGGCUGUUUGUUAAGUCAGAGGUGAAGUCCUACCGCUCAACGGUAGAACUGCCUUUGAUACUGGCAAACUUGAGUUAUUGUGAAGUAGUUAGAAUGUGUAGUGUAGCGGUGAAAUGCAUAGAUAUUACACAGAAUACCGAUUGCGAAAGCAGAUUACUAACAAUAUACUGACGCUGAGGGACGAAAGCGUGGGUAGCGAACAGGAUUAGAUACCCUGG
Molecule: ribosomal RNA, 714 nt
Filed under: uncultured bacterium
Lineage: Bacteria
Description: bacterial SSU rRNA
Rfam family: Bacterial small subunit ribosomal RNA
Source: RNAcentral